GCUUCUGUGGUGAAAUGGAUAUCACGCGACGCUUCGGACGUCGUAUUGCGGGUUCAAAUCCUGCCAGGAGCACAA
RNAcentral lists this transfer RNA (75 nucleotides) under Candidatus Zambryskibacteria bacterium RIFCSPHIGHO2_02_39_10. Its description in RNAcentral is "tRNA-Arg". It matches the Rfam family "tRNA". Rfam says of the family: Transfer RNA (tRNA) molecules are approximately 80 nucleotides in length. Their secondary structure includes four short double-helical elements and three loops (D, anti-codon, and T loops). Further hydrogen bonds mediate the characteristic L-shaped molecular structure. tRNAs have two regions of fundamental functional importance: the anti-codon, which is responsible for specific mRNA codon recognition, and the 3' end, to which the tRNAs corresponding amino acid is attached (by aminoacyl-tRNA synthetases). tRNAs cope with the degeneracy of the genetic code in two manners: having more than one tRNA (with a specific anti-codon) for a particular amino acid; and 'wobble' base-pairing, i.e. permitting non-standard base-pairing at the 3rd anti-codon position. RNAcentral also lists the same sequence under 1 other name. Lineage: Bacteria; Candidatus Zambryskiibacteriota. The record is from RNAcentral.